This 253-nucleotide ribosomal RNA is filed under the name uncultured bacterium. RNAcentral's name for it is "partial 16S ribosomal RNA". It matches the Rfam family "Bacterial small subunit ribosomal RNA", at positions 524 to 776 of the family's 1533-position model. The record is from RNAcentral.
UACGGAGGGUGCAAGCGUUAUCCGGAUUUACUGGGUUUAAAGGGUGCGUAGGCGGACUAUUAAGUCAAAUGUGAAAGCUUGCAGCUUAACUGUAAGAUUGCGUUUGAUACUGGUAGUCUUGAAUAUGGUAGAAGUUGGCGGAAUAAAUCAUGUAGCGGUGAAAUGCUUAGAUAUGAUUUAGAACACCGAUUGCGAAGGCAGCUAGCUAUGUCAUAAUUGACGCUGAGGCACGAAAGCGUGGGGAUCAAACAGG